CCCCAUAGUAUUAUUUUUUGGCAUCAUUAAAUAAUUAAAGUUUCGGCGGUAUAAGAUGACUAUGCGUUCUAUUAGUUAGUUGGUAAGGUAACGGCUUACCAAGACUGCGAUAGAUAGGGGUCCUGAGAGGGAGAUCCCCCACACUGGUACUGAGACACGGACCAGACUCCUACGGGAGGCAGCAGUGAGGAAUAUUGGACAAUGGAGGCAACUCUGAUCCAGCCAUGCCGCGUGUAGGAAGACUGCCCUAUGGGUUGUAAACUACUUUUAUAUGGGAAGAAUAAGGUCUACGUGUAGACUGAUGACGGUACCAUAAGAAUAAGCACCGGCUAACUCCGUGCCAGCAGCCGCGGUAAUACGGAGGGUGCAAGCGUUAUCCGGAAUCAUUGGGUUUAAAGGGUCCGUAGGCGGGCAUAUAAGUCAGUGGUGAAAGUCUGUGGCUUAACCAUAGAAUUGCCAUUGAUACUGUAUGUCUUGAAUUAUUGUGAAGUGGUUAGAAUAUGUAGUGUAGCGGUGAAAUGCUUAGAGAUUACAUAGAAUACCGAUUGCGAAGGCAGAUCACUAACAAUAUAUUGACGCUGAUGGACGAAAGCGUAGGUAGCGAACAGGAUUAGAUACCCUGGUAGUCUACGCCGUAAACGAUGGAUACUAGUUGUUUGGCCUUCGGGCUGAGUGACUAAGCGAAAGUGAUAAGUAUCCCACCUGGGGAGUACGUUCGCAAGAAUGAAA
RNAcentral lists this ribosomal RNA (729 nucleotides) under Dokdonia donghaensis. RNAcentral's name for it is "bacterial SSU rRNA". It matches the Rfam family "Bacterial small subunit ribosomal RNA", at positions 169 to 899 of the family's 1533-position model. The record is from RNAcentral. Lineage: Bacteria; Pseudomonadati; Bacteroidota; Flavobacteriia; Flavobacteriales; Flavobacteriaceae.